GUGGGGAAUAUUGGGCAAUGGGCGAAAGCCUGACCCAGCAACGCCGCGUGAAGGAAGAAGGUUUUCGGAUCGUAAACUUCUAUCCUUGGUGAAGAUAAUGACGGUAGCCAAGAAGGAAGCCCCGGCUAACUACGUGCCAGCAGCCGCGGUAAUACGUAGGGGGCAAGCGUUGUCCGGAAUGAUUGGGCGUAAAGGGCGCGUAGGCGGCCCGGUAAGUCUGAAGUGAAAGUCCUGCUUAUAAGGUGGGAAUUGCUUUGGAUACUGUCGGGCUUGAGUGCAGGAGAGGUAAGCGGAAUUCCCGGUGUAGCGGUGAAAUGCGUAGAGAUCGGGAGGAACACCAGUGGCGAAGGCGGCUUACUGGACUGUAACUGACGCUGAGGCGCGAAAGUGUGGGGAGCAAACAGGAUUAGAUACCCGGGUAGUCC
RNAcentral lists this ribosomal RNA (425 nucleotides) under uncultured bacterium. Its description in RNAcentral is "partial 16S ribosomal RNA". It matches the Rfam family "Bacterial small subunit ribosomal RNA", at positions 354 to 796 of the family's 1533-position model. The record is from RNAcentral.